Molecule: long non-coding RNA, 935 nt
Organism: Triticum aestivum (bread wheat)
Lineage: Eukaryota; Viridiplantae; Streptophyta; Magnoliopsida; Poales; Poaceae
Exons: 2
Source: RefSeq, a predicted model, not a curated record
CGUUCCCUCAGCCGCAACAGUCGCCGCUUCCGAUUCGGGCGAUUCCGGCGGCUAGUGCCGGCGCGGAGCACACCACCGAGCUCGCCUCGCUCGGAUCCAUCCUCCCCUCCAGUAAAUUUCCCCUCUCGGCCUCGACCGCCCGCCCAAAAUCCACGCCCGUGCUAGGGCUUGGCCCUCCGGCACCGGUUUCGUCGUCAGCGCAUCUCCGGCGGUCUCCGAUGGCUCUUCUCCAUCGUCUAUCGCGCGCCCUUGAUUCCUGAUGGUCCACCUUGAGAAAGGCGACAUGGAGGACCUCCUCUUGCAGGAUCCACGGACGCGGCGCAUCCUGCAGCCGCCGAUCCGAGAUGAGGGCGGGCAUGGCGGCCUUGUCCUGCUCGACGGCAGUGGCGGCAAACACCGGUGCUCCUCCUUGUCAUCAACCUCCAAGGAGGAGCGCCCGUACAGCACAAGCACGCCCCUGUACCCCCUUCUCCCAUCCAGCGGUGUACAGGACGUCCUCCUCCCCAACAGGCUGUCUUUGCUGGAUUAGGUGGAGCAGCAAGUCCAGCACCCUCUUGGCCCCAACCUCAUAUCCUCUAGUGUGGCUCACCGACGGCUGCGUCCUCCGCUCCUAGCGUGAUAUUGGUUUUUGGGAGCAUUUUCAACAACAAGACGUGGUUGAUGACUUAGGCAUGGACGUUCGGAUCUGUUGCCGGAAAUGCCAGAUGACCCCGUGUUGAUGUUUGAUGGUUAAUGCCUGAUGAGAGCGGGGCCUUGUUUGAUGGGGGAGGCGCUGGCAUAGUGUCCUCUGAGACAUACUUGUAAAAUUAACAUUUUUUGGGGCGCUGGCAUAGUGUUCUCGACAUGCUUGUAAAAUUAAUGUUUUUUUGGAUCUUCUAUUUUUGCUCCUGUACAUGUGUAAUUUAAGAUGUGUUUAUGUAAUUUUCUUUCUUUUA